GCUAGGAAAUGACAGUGAUUCACCGUAGAGAGAGAGGGGGAAGAAUUACAGUCAGUUUCAGCUCAGAUGAGUGGAUUGUUUCCUACACCGAUAUAAUCAACAAAUGAGUUUUAAAAACAUUUCAGAAGCCCUAUAUUAAGGUUCUGACUUUGGACUUCAAGCAGGUCAACGGUGUCAACUGUGUGUUUUGCUGUAGUAUCAAUAUAUAAACAUACAGAUCUACUAAUAACGUAAAUACACAAUCCUAUAGAACAUCAUGAGGGGAAAGGAGGAGGAGUCAACGUAUUGGGGGGAGGGGCCACGAGCUGGAAGCAUCAGUAAAACUCAGUCGUUGUCUCUAGAAGACUCAGAUGUAUACAGAGUGGUUUCACUUCUUCUGUUGGUGUGUUGUGGUAGUAGAUGUUUCUCCUACUGGUGUUGUGGUAGUAGAUGUUUCUCCUACUGGUGUUGUGGUAGUAGAUGUUUCUCCUACUGGUGUUGUGGUACUAGAUGUUUCUCCUACUGGUGUUGUGGUACUAGAUGUUUCUCCUACUGGUGUUGUGGUACUAGAUGUUUCUCCUACUGGUGUUGUGGUAGUAGAUGUUUCUCCUACUGGUGUUGUGGUAGUAGAUGUUUCUCCUACUGGUGUUGUGGUAGUAGAUGUUUCUCCUACUGGUGUUGUGGAACUAAAUGUUUCUCCUACUGGUGUUGUGGUACUAGAUGUUUCUCCUACUGGUGUUGUGGUAGUAGAUGUUUCUCCUACUGGUGUUGUGGUACUAGAUGUUUCUCCUACUGGUGUUGUGGUAGUAGAUGUUUCUCCUACUGGUGUUGUGGUACUAGAAGUUUCCGUAAUAUAAUCAAUGAUAAAAUGGUGAGCUGAGUAGACAGGCGAGAAAAAAAUGUUUCUUUCACAAAUGUUUUUUAAAGGCAUCUUUGCAAACACAUCAAUUUCACCAUCUAGUCCACAUCCCAAAUGCCCCCCCCCCUAUUCCCUUUAAUAGUGCACUACUUUUGACCAGAGCCCUUUGGACCCUAUUCCCU
Molecule: long non-coding RNA, 1020 nt
Organism: Oncorhynchus tshawytscha (Chinook salmon)
Lineage: Eukaryota; Metazoa; Chordata; Actinopteri; Salmoniformes; Salmonidae
Source: Ensembl